RNAcentral lists this unclassified non-coding RNA (531 nucleotides) under Hevea brasiliensis (rubber tree). The record is from RNAcentral. Lineage: Eukaryota; Viridiplantae; Streptophyta; Magnoliopsida; Malpighiales; Euphorbiaceae.
AAGCUCCUUGGUGACCUUAUCUCUCAUCAACCGGGCGACCCCGAAGUUCCCUGACCCAAUAUCCCGGACGAAAUCGUACCGGUCACUGUCGUGCAAGAUCGGCAAAUCCAUACCGGGUCCCACGGUUAUCGUCGACCGAUCCAUUUUCCACGGAUUUGCCCCUCUACCAAACUCAGUGAUCACAUUAGAUAACUUCAACGCAACGACUAUUUCCUGCUCAACCACAAGUCAACACAGAUGGCAAUAAUAAGAAACUAAGGCACGGAUUGUAGAUCGGUGACUCGGUUUGCUUGAAGUCAGUGAGCUGAAGAGGCAGCAAACGUUUCCAGUGGGAAGAGAAAUUUAACGCUUCCAGUGGGAAGAGAGAUUUUUGAUCGGCGACGGUUUAAUAUCCGAGUGUAUGUGCUUCUGUAACAGUGAAAGGAGAGAGAGGACCUUUUGGGUUUUGAAGAAAGGAAGUGAUGAUGCUAAGGAGAUAUUUACUAGAGAGAAGGUGAAUGAGACAAAAACAGUGGCGUUAGUUGCAGCAGC